GCGAGCGUGGCGGAACUGGCAGACGCGCAAGGUUUAGGUCCUUGUGUCCGGAAGGACGUGGAGGUUCGACCCCUCUCGCUCGCA
RNAcentral lists this transfer RNA (84 nucleotides) under Phycisphaerae bacterium. Its description in RNAcentral is "tRNA-Leu". It matches the Rfam family "tRNA". Rfam says of the family: Transfer RNA (tRNA) molecules are approximately 80 nucleotides in length. RNAcentral also lists the same sequence under 1 other name. Lineage: Bacteria; Pseudomonadati; Planctomycetota; Phycisphaerae. The record is from RNAcentral.